UCCACCUGUCUGGGAUCCAGUGUGGCCCAAAUGGUCACUCAACCUCAACCAGAAGUGUCUGUGCAAGAGGCAGACACAGUGACCCUGGACUAAAGAAGCCAAAUCCUUCCGUCUCAGGAUCUCAGACUCCCAGCUGGAGGAUGCUGCAAAGUAUUUCUGCG
Orcinus orca (killer whale) is the source of this 161-nucleotide long non-coding RNA. RefSeq lists it as uncharacterized. The transcript is spliced from 3 exons. Lineage: Eukaryota; Metazoa; Chordata; Mammalia; Artiodactyla; Delphinidae. The record is from RefSeq and is a predicted model, not a curated record.